CGGGGUGUAGCUCAAUUGGCUAGAGCGUUCCGUUGUCUGCGGAAAUGUUGCGGGUACCCUGCGGGAAGCAAGCUACAAAUCCCGUCACCCUGG
This 93-nucleotide transfer RNA is filed under the name Nostoc sp. RNAcentral's name for it is "tRNA-Asp". RNAcentral also lists the same sequence under 3 other names. The record is from RNAcentral. Lineage: Bacteria; Bacillati; Cyanobacteriota; Cyanophyceae; Nostocales; Nostocaceae.